AUGUAUGAUAGAUACCCAGGUAACGAAAAUAAGUUGAAGUGCGAGAACAAACGUAUAGUGCCGUCAAAGUAUGAAAUGGACGGAUAAAUCUCCGUUUUCGCAUUUUCAUAAAAUUACGUUAUUCAACGCUGUUAUUAAUACGUGUCCUGUUUAGUUGUUUUUAUCGAACCACAGUUUUUAAUGAGAACGAACAUCAAGUUUACCAGUAACCGAUCAACUUUUGCACCCUAGGCUUCGCGAAACUAUUCGUAUCAUUUCUGCAGGCAAAAGUUGACGUUUUGGCAAACGCAACACAACCACAACUACUACUCUUAACAAACACAAAAAACGAUGGAUACGGAUACAGUUAUCAAGUAUGGGGUCACCAUUUUGACGUGGAUAGCAUUGCUAAUCAUAUUGCCUUCUUCGUUAAUCUGUAUGAUCAUUCACCUUUAUAAAUUUUUUCGAAGUAACAAUACUCAAAGUUUGGCCACGAAAAAUUUAACUUUCUAUUGUAUGUUUCUCUUAUUGUUUUAUGCCUGCUAUUCAGUAUACACAGCAGCAUUGUUUUUCGGUUUUUUUGAAACUUUUUACAGUUUUAACACAGUUACGAUACAUUUAUAUGCAAUUACGAGCUACCUGGAGUUUAAUAUGACUUUUGUAAAAUUUAUUAUCGCUAUAGACAUAUGCUUAUGUUUUCGAAAAAUUUCUGUACAUCUGCAACGAUCCUCGGGUUCUCAAAACAAGAAAUUCUUUGUUUACUGUCUUCUUGGCGUAUGCUUACCAAUGGUGUACACCAUUUUCCAAACAAUUCUCUUUCACGAACGAAAUGUGACCAAGGCGACCAAUAAUACAGUGGUGGUAUACAUCAACCAUAGCAAUUAUGAGAUCGAAACUGUGAUUUUAAAUAAACUCCCCCUGACAAUUGCCAUUAUUCGCAUUAUUCGUUUAAUUCCAAUUUUCGGAGCAUUUUGGUACCUGGUAUCAGCCAGUAUUGACAAAAAAGAAUUGUGGACAAGAUUUUCUGUGCAUAUACGUCUUAUUAUUAUGAUCGGUGGAUUCUCUACUAUUUUAACAGUUAUAGACUUAAUUUUUGCGAACUACAGAGUUGGAAAGCGUUACCGCGUAGAUGACAUUUACUCGCUUUUAGAUGAUAUUGGUAUUAUGAUGGAAGGGAUCGUUGUUGGAGUAUGUUUCACGUUUAAGAAAGAUACAUUUCAAUCGUUACCUACUACAACUCGUGUCACCCCCCACACCAAAACCACUAAUACAACUGCUAAUAGUAGCUGUUGAAGUAAAAAGUUGUAAAAUAUUAGAAAUUUUGAAAACUUAUGUAAGUAGGUACCUACUUGAUACUUCCUUACUCAAAGUGAAACUCUGUCAUGCCAAAUAGCCCUUCGGUUAAAACAAAGAUAGUGUAAUUAAGUAUGCAGUGUACUUACUAAUUUAAUUAGGUACCUAAUCACUUUUAACAUUAAGAGGAAAAUUAUGGAAGAACGAAAAAAUACAGUAAAGUUGACGUAUAAUUUUAAAAAGCUCGCCCGCAGGUUAAUCAAAACAGUAGUUUACAGCCUAUUAAUGAGGUUAGAAAAUCAUCAUAGAAAGACAAAAGUAUUGCACAAAUUGACAUUUUCAAAAAUGACUUUUUAAAAAAAUUAUCCUAGAAAUAACGGAUGCAUGAUUCUUUCAUCUCAAAAAAAAAAAAAAAUGUUGAUGUACUACUUAUAUGUACCUACUUAAUUUUAUUAUAUUCUAGAAUAAGUAUGUAAACCUAUCCAUAAUUUGUUUUCACGUGUACCUACUUACAUUUGCCAAUAUAAAUGUAAUUCAUAGACGUA
This is a long non-coding RNA of Planococcus citri (citrus mealybug), 1817 nucleotides long. RefSeq lists it as uncharacterized. The transcript is spliced from 2 exons. Lineage: Eukaryota; Metazoa; Arthropoda; Insecta; Hemiptera; Pseudococcidae. The record is from RefSeq and is a predicted model, not a curated record.